UAGUGCGAGGUCUUGACGAGCCUGGUGCAAAGGCUUAUGACUUUUCCCCUUUCAAGAUAUUCCUUCUUUAGCAGCUGAAGCUGCAAAGGAGCAUCCAAGAGUAUCGUAUGUUAUUACCGCACCUCUUGACCUUCUUGAAUUACUUAUUGAUUUUGUGAAUGAUAGGAUCAAGCAUUGCUGCUACACAGAGAAUAGCCACGGAGCUUGUACACUGUUUCCAGACCCCCAGAAAUGCCUCAAUGCUAGUUCUCCUUAUUUUCUCCUGGUCACAAAUCAAACUGUUGAGAUGCAUGAUGCUAAACUCUUUAACAAGGUAUUUUGUCAACUACAGCAUUGCAAAAUUUCAACACCUUUUUGUCGAUACCAACUUUUGGGGAAAAAAAAUGUAAAUAUCUAAAUAACAUGCAUAUACGCGUACAGGCAUCGUCAAUGUAAUGUUAAAAAUUGUACAUCUCUACAUAUAAGCAGUUUUUACUAAUUAUUGUCUAUUAGUAACUCUUACAAUGGGUACCACAUAAUAAAUAUUGGAUUCAUGUGCGCACGAGCAUCGCCCAUCUAGUCUAAUAUACUAUAAAAAAGGUCUACACGGAUAUAGCAGUCUUUUUAGCCAGUCAUUAUCAAGCUACUAUUAUACA
Long non-coding RNA from Capsicum annuum, 635 nucleotides. RefSeq lists it as uncharacterized. The record is from RefSeq and is a predicted model, not a curated record. The transcript is spliced from 3 exons. NCBI's taxonomy places the organism in Eukaryota, Viridiplantae, Streptophyta, Magnoliopsida, Solanales, Solanaceae.